GAGUUUGAUCGUGGCUCAGGACGAACGCUGGCGGCGUGCCUAAUACAUGCAAGUCGAGCGGAUCUUCAUUAGCUUGCUUUUGAAGAUCAGCGGCGGACGGGUGAGUAACACGUGGGCAACCUGCCUGUAAGACUGGGAUAACUUCGGGAAACCGGAGCUAAUACCGGAUGAUCCUUUUCCUCUCAUGAGGAAAAGCUGAAAGACGGUUUCGGCUGUCACUUACAGAUGGGCCCGCGGCGCAUUAGCUAGUUGGUGAGGUAACGGCUCACCAAGGCGACGAUGCGUAGCCGACCUGAGAGGGUGAUCGGCCACACUGGGACUGAGACACGGCCCAGACUCCUACGGGAGGCAGCAGUAGGGAAUCUUCCGCAAUGGACGAAAGUCUGACGGAGCAACGCCGCGUGAGCGAUGAAGG
This 415-nucleotide ribosomal RNA is filed under the name uncultured microorganism. RNAcentral describes it as "bacterial SSU rRNA". It matches the Rfam family "Bacterial small subunit ribosomal RNA", at positions 9 to 414 of the family's 1533-position model. The record is from RNAcentral.